Molecule: ribosomal RNA, 253 nt
Filed under: uncultured bacterium
Lineage: Bacteria
Description: partial 16S ribosomal RNA
Rfam family: Bacterial small subunit ribosomal RNA
Source: RNAcentral
UACGGGGGGGGCAAGCGUUGUUCGGAAUUACUGGGCGUAAAGGGUUCGUAGGUGGCCUACUAAGUCAGACGUGAAAUCCCUCAGCUUAACUGGGGAACUGCGUCUGAUACUGGGGGGCUUGAGGACAGGAGAGGAACGCGGAAUUCCAGGUGUAGCGGUGAAAUGCGUAGAUAUCUGGAGGAACACCGGUGGCGAAGGCGGCGUUCUGGACUGGCAUUGACGCUGAGGCGCGAAAGCGUGGGGAGCGAACGGG